RNAcentral lists this ribosomal RNA (485 nucleotides) under uncultured Pseudomonadota bacterium. Its description in RNAcentral is "bacterial SSU rRNA". It matches the Rfam family "Bacterial small subunit ribosomal RNA", at positions 355 to 858 of the family's 1533-position model. The record is from RNAcentral. Lineage: Bacteria; Pseudomonadati; Pseudomonadota.
UGGGGAAUAUUGGACAAUGGGCGCAAGCCUGAUCCAGCAAUGCCGCGUGAGUGAUGAAGGCCUUCGGGUUGUAAAGCUCUUUCGUCCGCGACGAUGAUGACGGUAGCGGAAGAAGAAGCCCCGGCUAACUUCGUGCCAGCAGCCGCGGUAAUACGAAGGGGGCGAGCGUUGUUCGGAAUUACUGGGCGUAAAGGGCGCGUAGGCGGUCGGCCGCGUCAGAUGUGAAAGCCCCGGGCUCAACCUGGGAACCGCAUUUGAGACGGGUCGACUCGAGUUCGGGAGAGGAUGGUGGAAUUCCCAGUGUAGAGGUGAAAUUCGUAGAUAUUGGGAAGAACACCGAGGGCGAAGGCAGCCAUCUGGACCGACACUGACGCUGAGGCGCGAAAGCGUGGGGAGCAAACAGGAUUAGAUACCCUGGUAGUCCACGCCGUAAACGAUGAGUGCUAGCCGCUGGGACGCUUGCGUGUCGGUGGCGUCGCUAACGC